This 443-nucleotide ribosomal RNA is filed under the name uncultured bacterium. RNAcentral's name for it is "partial 16S ribosomal RNA". It matches the Rfam family "Bacterial small subunit ribosomal RNA", at positions 338 to 795 of the family's 1533-position model. The record is from RNAcentral.
CCUACGGGAGGCAGCAGUGGGGAAUAUUGGGCAAUGGUCGCAAGCCUGACCCAGCAACGCCGCGUGAAGGAAGAAGGCUUUCGGGUUGUAAACUUCUUUUCUGAGGGACGAAGAAAGUGACGGUACCUCAGGAAUAAGCCACGGCUAACUACGUGCCAGCAGCCGCGGUAAUACGUAGGUGGCAAGCGUUAUCCGGAUUUAUUGGGAGUAAAGGGCUUGUAGGCGGGAAAGCAAGUCAGAAGUGAAAACCCAGGGCUCAACCCUGAGCCUGCAUUGGAAACUGUUUUACUUGAGUGCUGGAGAGGCAAUCGGAAUUCCGGGUGUAGCGGUGAAAUGCGUAGAUAUACGGAGGAACACCAGUGGCGAAGGCGGAUUGCUGGACAGUAACUGACGCUGAGGCGCGAAAGCGUGGGGAGCAAACAGGAUUAGAUACCCGAGUAGUC